RNAcentral lists this long non-coding RNA (480 nucleotides) under Vigna radiata. RNAcentral describes it as "long non-coding RNA (VRAD_LNC011221)". The record is from RNAcentral. Lineage: Eukaryota; Viridiplantae; Streptophyta; Magnoliopsida; Fabales; Fabaceae.
GGUCGUCGACGCUGACGGCGUUCUGGCCUGCAUCUGUUGGCAACUAGCCCGGUGGAGACGGGGGCGUCCUCGUGCAGGGGAAGCAAACCUGUCUCUAGCUUCCUUCGUUCAGAGAAGAAGAGAGCCCCAGGUUUUCUGAAUGUUAGAAUGAGGAAAGAAAGUGAGAACCCCUAAUGUUUCUGAGUUAGGGCAAAGUGGUUUGGGCCUGGCUUUUGGGUCCACAUCCUAUCUUCCUGCCACCAUGCAACGCUAUUCGCACCCCCAUUCCAUUUCUGCAGACAAAGGAAGAAAAGGGCUUUAGGCCCAUUGGCCCGUAUUCUCUCUGCCUGUCGCCACCUCCGUUUCCUAUCCGCACUCCCUUUUCCCUUUCUGGCAAACAAUAAAAGAGGCCUUGGGCUUGGUCAACAAAAUAUUCAGUGGCACCCCCCAAUAUUCACAGUUGCACCCCUUUAUCCAUUUGGGCUUGGGUCAAGAAGUUUC